GGUUUGAUGUCCGAGUGGCUAAGGAGUUAGCCUUGAAAGCUAAUGGGCUGUGCCUUCGCAGGUUCGAAUCCUGUUCAAACCG
Molecule: transfer RNA, 82 nt
Filed under: Fistulifera solaris
Lineage: Eukaryota; Bacillariophyta; Bacillariophyceae; Naviculales; Stauroneidaceae
Rfam family: tRNA
About the family: Transfer RNA (tRNA) molecules are approximately 80 nucleotides in length.
Source: Rfam by way of RNAcentral